Molecule: long non-coding RNA, 963 nt
Filed under: Nicotiana benthamiana
Lineage: Eukaryota; Viridiplantae; Streptophyta; Magnoliopsida; Solanales; Solanaceae
Description: long non-coding RNA (NBEN_LNC012791)
Source: RNAcentral
UCCCAACAAUGAUGCAAUUUGGUUGUGGGGGAUGUCCGUGGUUUGUGAAAUAUGGUUUGCUUUCUCAUGGAUUCUUGACCAAUUGCCCAAACUUUGCCCUAUCAACCGUGCGACUGAUCUUGGUGUCUUAAAAGACAAAUUUGAAUCACCUAGCCCAAACAAUCCUACUGGGAGGCUUUGCCCUGUCAACCGUGCGACUGAUCUUGGUGUCUUGAAAGACAAAUUUGAAUCACCUAGCCCAAACAAUCCUACUGGGAGAUCUGAUCUCCCUGGCGUUGAUAUGUUUGUCUCUACCGCUGAUCCAGAGAAGGAACCUCCUCUUGUGACUGCAAAUACUAUAUUGUCCAUUCUAGCUGCAGAUUAUCCUGUGGAAAAGCUUGCUUGCUAUGUUUCUGAUGAUGGAGGGGCUCUUUUGACUUUCGAGGCAAUGGCAGAAGCUGCAAGUUUUGCUAAUUUAUGGGUACCAUUUUGUCGCAAACAUAACAUCGAACCUAGAAAUCCAGACAGUUACUUCAGUUUAAAGAAGGAUCCGUACAAAAACAAGGUAAAGCAAGACUUUGUUAAGGAUCGUAGGCGGGCAAAGCGUGAGUAUGAUGAGUUUAAGGUCCGUAUCAAUGGGUUGCCAGAGUCCAUUCGCCGUAGGUCUGACGCUUAUCAUGCAAGGGAAGAAAUUAAGGCCAUGAAGCAACAGAGGCAGAAGACUGAGGAUGAACCUGUUGAGAAUGUAAAGAUCCCAAAAGCUACGUGGGUUGCCAGAGUCCAUUCGUCGUAGGUCUGACGCUUAUCAUGCAAGGGAAGAAAUUAAGGCCAUGAAGCAACAGAGGCAGAAGACUGAGGAUGAACCAGUAGAGAAUGUAAAGAUCCCAAAAGCUACGUGGAUGGCAGAUGGAACCCAUUGGCCUGGGACAUGGUUGAAUUCUGGACCUGAGCAUUCCAAGGGUGAUCAUGCUGGAAUAAUACAGG